This 72-nucleotide transfer RNA is filed under the name Marmota monax (woodchuck). Its description in RNAcentral is "tRNA.Ala". It matches the Rfam family "tRNA". Rfam says of the family: Transfer RNA (tRNA) molecules are approximately 80 nucleotides in length. Their secondary structure includes four short double-helical elements and three loops (D, anti-codon, and T loops). The record is from RNAcentral. Lineage: Eukaryota; Metazoa; Chordata; Mammalia; Rodentia; Sciuridae.
GGUGUUGUGGCUCAGAGGUAGAGCACUCACCUAGCAUGUGUGAGGCCCUGGGUUCAAUCCUCAACACCAUGU